Molecule: small nuclear RNA, 162 nt
Organism: Peromyscus leucopus (white-footed mouse)
Lineage: Eukaryota; Metazoa; Chordata; Mammalia; Rodentia; Cricetidae
Product: U1 spliceosomal RNA
Exons: 1
Source: RefSeq, a predicted model, not a curated record
AUACUUACCUGGCAGGGGAGAUGCCAUGAUCAUGAAGGUGUAUCUUCCAGGGUGAGGCUUAUCCAUUGCACCCCGCAUGUGCUGACCUCUAUGAUUUCCCCAAAUCUGGGAAAUUCAACUGCAUAAUUUGUGGUAUUGGGUGACUGUGCUCACUUUUUUCCU